UAACUUCCUUGUAGAUUUUUCCAUUGCUUUCUUUGUGUGAACCGCCUAUAUAAACUUGGGGUCGAUCAGGGGGCAUCUUGGAGAAACCUUGGAUAUACUGCUGGAUCAUUGCCCACCUGAUCCAUCAUCCUGCAUCCAUCUGCCAUGUGAGGACAUGACGACGGGCACCGUCUUGGGAGCAGAGAGCAGCUGUCACCACACACCAAACCUGCCAGCACCUUGAUCUUGGACUUCCCAGCAUCCAGAGUAUGAGAAAUAAAUAUCUGUUCUUUAUAAGUUGCCCAAUUUCAGGUAUUUUCUUAUAGCAGCACCAAUAGGUGAAGACACAGCAUGAACUGAUGAAGACAGACACAUGAGCCAGAUGUGGUGUGUGCAGACAAGUUCUGGGGUGUGAUACUGUUUUGUAGUUACACUCAGAAACUGUGAAGGACCUAAGACGUUUCUGCAAUUGUAAGCUAACAAGUUAGCCUGCCAUAGUCUCUGGAUGCUGUGGAGACACAAGUCUCCUCGGUCAGAGACAAAUGACUUUUUUACUCAUGCCACAACAGGCAGCAUGAGUUUUAUGAUGUUGGUUUUCCUUCUGCUCCCACCAACGUACCAACACAAGUCAUUGCAGAGAGUCCCAGAGGAGGUUGUACCCACGGUGGGUUUGCCUCACAUCUGAGAGACUCUGAGCUCAAUAAGCACAAUCUAUUAAAAGAGACUGGUGGCAAACUUGUCCAUACUUUAACUGUAUAAAGAGAAGGAGUAAUUAAACUUUAUGUUCAAGGUCCCCAAACAAAUCAUGGGCCAGAGAAGACUGGCACGCAAGGGAAGACUGCGGCAGCUGGGUAGUUUCUUCUUCUCCUUUAACUCUUUGACACAAGCUUAAUGCUACUUGCUGCUCCAUAUGCCUCUUAGCAUCUGGAGAGUGCUGAGGCUCAGCGGCUUCUUCCUUUGGGUCCCGUAAAAAAAAAAGUGACUCCUUUGUCCUUCCAUCUGAUACUGUCUAAAAAGAAAUGACUAUGUUCAGCCUACAUCCGUGAAGUUGGGAGUUACAUUCCACCACCUGGAGGGUAGACAUAGAAUAUCUAUGUAAAUUAUUUGGAUUUCUCCCACAAGGGAGAUUGGUAUCUUCUUCCCCAACUAUUUGUUUUCAAUCAUUCAUUUAUGUCAGAAUGUGCCAUCUACUAUUUUAAACUAUCAAUUCUUGACAUCAUUUUUCUUCCUUUCACUCUUACCCCAUAAUAAUCAUAAUAAAUCAUUCUCCGUCUCUUUGUGUCAUCCCAUUUCUUUUGCCAUACUGUAGACGUGAUCUGGGGGUCUCAGAGAUAGGGAAGAAUUACAUUUUGUGUGGAAGAAUUUCUCAGGGAAGCAGCAGGUCCAUGAGACACACACUUUCCUGAGAGUUCCGCAUGCCUCACACCUAUUUCCUUCUCUUUCCAUGUGAACCUCCUCUGACUCCAAGGCCCAUGGAAAUGAAGAAGCUUCUCCCUAAGUCUCUAACACUAUUUUUGGAAGAGAUCACUACAUAGUUGUUUCCGAUAGGCAAGAACUGGGAUAAACUGUUUAACUCCCCUAGUGUGCAUUGCCAUCGGUACUACAGUUGGAGUGAUAAUUGCAAUUUUGUGGGAGGUGAGGUUUCAGAAUCACAAACCGUUAUCUCAGGGUCUGGCUGUUUCCCUCUCACACGUGUACUAGUGGCCAGGACCGUCACAGUGAGUCCACCACUUUGACAGCAGGCAAGAACUGAAUGAUCAUUUUCUAUAUUAGUCUAAGAGGCCACCUAUAAGUGCAGUAGCAUGUGAGGAACAUGGAGAGUUGCUCAUAUUGGAAAAAGGAUUCUUCUUCAUAGAAAGAGGCCCAAGACUCCUCGGGAUUUAGAAAUAAUUCCCAGGGCUUGUGCUGAGCUUGUGGAGAGAGACUGGGGUCCUCCAAUGUACACCAGUCCCUAAUGCCUCAAUAUAAGUUAAUGUAAUCGACACUCAUAGUGACGUUUGAUGUUUUAUCCUCAUACUAAUAUAGCCUGAUAUUUAAGUUACUCUGUAAUUAUAAUUGUGAAAUUCAUCCACCCUACAAGAAUCACAAACACUACCUUCGGGACAAAAGAAGUGUUAGUAUAAUACUUUUCAUGUAUUAUGAAAUAAUGAUGAAUAAAGAUAACUAAUAAAAUAAUAAUACUGUAGAGAACU
Long non-coding RNA from Galeopterus variegatus (Sunda flying lemur), 2171 nucleotides. RefSeq lists it as uncharacterized. The transcript is spliced from 2 exons. The record is from RefSeq and is a predicted model, not a curated record. Lineage: Eukaryota; Metazoa; Chordata; Mammalia; Dermoptera; Cynocephalidae.